AUUGAACGCUGGCGGCAUGCCUUACACAUGCAAGUCGAACGGCAGCACGGGACCUUGCUCCUGGUGGCGAGUGGCGAACGGGUGAGUAAUACAUCGGAACGUACCCUGAAGUGGGGGAUAACGUAGCGAAAGUUACGCUAAUACCGCAUAUUCUGUGAGCAGGAAAGAGGGGGAUCGCAAGACCUCUUGCUUUAGGAGCGGCCGAUGUCGGAUUAGCUAGUUGGUGAGGUAAAGGCUCACCAAGGCGACGAUCCGUAGCGGGUCUGAGAGGAUGAUCCGCCACACUGGGACUGAGACACGGCCCAGACUCCUACGGGAGGCAGCAGUGGGGAAUUUUGGACAAUGGGCGCAAGCCUGAUCUAGCCAUGCCGCGUGAGUGAAGAAGGCC
Molecule: ribosomal RNA, 388 nt
Filed under: uncultured bacterium
Lineage: Bacteria
Description: bacterial SSU rRNA
Rfam family: Bacterial small subunit ribosomal RNA
Source: RNAcentral